This is a long non-coding RNA of Bubalus bubalis (water buffalo), 2473 nucleotides long. RefSeq lists it as uncharacterized. The record is from RefSeq and is a predicted model, not a curated record. NCBI's taxonomy places the organism in Eukaryota, Metazoa, Chordata, Mammalia, Artiodactyla, Bovidae. The transcript has 3 exons.
ACAAAGCUCCCGCUGCAAAUAGGGGUCCCUCCUCUUCUCUCUCUCUCUGCCUCUUUCUUCACCUCUGAAGCCUUCUUUCUACUCUUUGGGCUUCAUUCUCAAACAAGCUCCCUUACAUGGUAUCAAGAUGUCCACCAGCUAUAAACUUAAAAGACAUUUCUUCCUAACGAUGUCAACAAAGGUGCCACAGUUCUGUUUUGCUGGCUCUGAUUGGCUGACUCGGGACACAGGACCGUCUGGAUGCAGCCUGUGAUGCAGCCUCCUUAGGAAGGUCCAGAUCGCAUGCCCCGCCUCCAGUUUGGGGUGAGCAGAGGGCAGGGAUGUGGUCCUAAGGAAAAUAAGAGUGUCAGUAGUAGACAAUGAAGUAGCAGAUGAUGUGUAAAGUCAAAAUAAUGUCUUACUACACUGAAAAAAAAAUUUAAGUAUAAAUAAUCUCAAUACUUUUAUCUGUUCUGCAAAAUUUCAGACUUAUGGUGAUGUCGCUAAUCAAAGGGAAUAACACUGUCGAUGGCUUUUUAGACUCAUCUUUUUUAAGGCGGCUCUUUGAAUAAAGAUCGUAUUGAAGCAAUCAAUAGACAAGCAGAAGGUAAUAAGAAAAAAAAAAGCAUAACCCAACAUAAGCAAAAGAAUACUUUCAAUGAUGGCUAACUAGAGUUAUUCUAUAAUUACUCCACCAUAGCCCUGAAAAUGAGUCACCAAAGACUGAAUAUUUAUAAGCUUUCUGACCUCAAAAAAAUUCAAAAUCUUAAAUGAGGUCACCUAAGGAGACUGUGGAAAACUUCCAUGCAACUUAUUGGCAGAUUUUAGUUCUUAAUUCAACAAGCGUGGUAUGAAACGCACGCCAUCUGGUUACUGGGAAAAUUCUAGUCCGCAUUAACUGCUUGUGUGAGAGACAUUCCUGCUAUUGAGCUGUAAAUGAAUGCACCUGCAAAUGGGGAAAAAGAGCACGUCUUAUCACUUGCUCCUAGGGCUGGGAGACGUGAUGACGUAACACCGCCGUUCCAUCCGCUUUUAGACGCUGAUCAGUACAGCUGUUCUCGGCUCCUGCGAUUGUGCCGGGCUGUGCGCGCAACAGGAGUGCGCGGAACAGGAGUGCGCGGCGGAGGGGGAUUCAACUGACACUGAGAGGAAACGGUCCCUUCUCGUUUCUCCAGGGCAACUCCCAACAUUUCAGAUGAAGCGCAGGAACAAUAUCAGCACGUGGCUUGCAAGGUAAAAUUGAUCUAUGCAAAGCAGCUGAAACAAUGGCCAGUCCCCAAAGAACUAACCAGGAGGCGCUUCAGGAGCACUGUUCCUCUCCAUCCCGCUCAGCCGUGACACAGCCAGCCUGAUGCCCCUUUCCUCACUGCUGUUGCUCUGGAUCUUCAGCCGUCAUGGAGGAUUAAGGUCCAGAGCUGCUCCAGGCCUGAGUUCUUUUCCCUUCUAGGUUACUACAGACUAUCAAGAAUAGCUCCCCGUGCCAUACAGCAGGUCCUGGGAACUGCCUGUAUUUAAACACCGCAUCAGAAGCCCCGUGACCGGCUCCGUCAGAGCUCCACGCUCAGCACGAGUUGUGCUCCUCCUGGAGUCUCUGGCCUCCGCUCCCCCCUCACGCGGGGCCAGCACUGUGCCUUGGUCCCGGUGCCUCUAACGCUCUCCCCCUCCCUUUGGCCCUCCCGUCCUCCCGCCCUCAGCUUAGGCACCACUCUGCAGAUGCCUCUCCCCGGACACCUCUGACCUGGAGGACACCGCGCAGCUCCCCUUCACCAAUGCUGACUCGCAGUGCCUGUUAGACACUCACCGAACAACUGUAAAGACGAUGAGUAGGAAGCUCUUUGCAGGCUCGAGUCAGGUUAGACGGGGUCCAAAGCAGCCUCCGCUAAAUCCAGCGUUGCUCGAUUAUUAACUGCGUACUGUCUUGCGAGCCCCGAGGCCCUGGGGAAACUAUUUAACGUCUCUUGCUUGUUCUCUCAAAGAGAUGCUUGGUUUCUGCUUCACAAAUGAAGUCAUCUAUACCAUUUUUCUUGACUCCACAUAUAUGUGUUAAUAUACAGUAACUGUUUUUCUGACUUACUUCACUCUGUAUGAGUCUCUAGGGCCAUCCCCAUCUCUACUAAUGACCCAACCCAGUCCCUUUUAUGGCUGAGUGAUAGUCUAUUGGAUAUAUGUACCACACCUCUUUAUCCAUUCCUCGGUUGAUGGGCAUUAGACAGAAAGACACACAGACAUAAAGGUCAAGCAUGGACACCUGGGGGAGGAGGGGCCGGGCUGGACUGCGCGGCUGGGCCUGACGUAUACACACUGCUAUGCACGCAAGAGGUGGCUGACAAGACCCACGGUGGAGCGCAGGGAGCCGACUCCGUGCUGUGUGGUGCCCUUAAGUGGGAGGAAAUCCAAACCAGAGAGGACGCACGUUCACCCUGAGCGGGUUCACUCUGCUGUACAGUAGAAACCAACAACACUGUAAAGCAACUGAAUGCCGAUAAAAUAAAAC